This 234-nucleotide ribosomal RNA is filed under the name Staphylococcus epidermidis. Its description in RNAcentral is "partial 16S ribosomal RNA". It matches the Rfam family "Bacterial small subunit ribosomal RNA", at positions 1012 to 1246 of the family's 1533-position model. The record is from RNAcentral. Lineage: Bacteria; Bacillati; Bacillota; Bacilli; Caryophanales; Staphylococcaceae.
UUUCCCCUUCGGGGGACAGAGUGACAGGUGGUGCAUGGUUGUCGUCAGCUCGUGUCGUGAGAUGUUGGGUUAAGUCCCGCAACGAGCGCAACCCUUAAGCUUAGUUGCCAUCAUUAAGUUGGGCACUCUAAGUUGACUGCCGGUGACAAACCGGAGGAAGGUGGGGAUGACGUCAAAUCAUCAUGCCCCUUAUGAUUUGGGCUACACACGUGCUACAAUGGACAAUACAAAGGG